GUCCCUGUGGCGUAACCGGGCAGCACGUUCGGCUGUUAACCGAGAGGAUGGUGGUUCGAGCCCACCCAGGGACC
RNAcentral lists this transfer RNA (74 nucleotides) under Manacus vitellinus (golden-collared manakin). It matches the Rfam family "tRNA". Rfam says of the family: Transfer RNA (tRNA) molecules are approximately 80 nucleotides in length. Their secondary structure includes four short double-helical elements and three loops (D, anti-codon, and T loops). Further hydrogen bonds mediate the characteristic L-shaped molecular structure. tRNAs have two regions of fundamental functional importance: the anti-codon, which is responsible for specific mRNA codon recognition, and the 3' end, to which the tRNAs corresponding amino acid is attached (by aminoacyl-tRNA synthetases). tRNAs cope with the degeneracy of the genetic code in two manners: having more than one tRNA (with a specific anti-codon) for a particular amino acid; and 'wobble' base-pairing, i.e. permitting non-standard base-pairing at the 3rd anti-codon position. The record is from Rfam by way of RNAcentral. Lineage: Eukaryota; Metazoa; Chordata; Aves; Passeriformes; Pipridae.